GUGGGGAAUAUUGCACAAUGGGCGCAAGCCUGAUGCAGCCAUGCCGCGUGUAUGAAGAAGGCCUUCGGGUUGUAAAGUACUUUCAGCGAGGAGGAAGGCAUUAAGGUUAAUAACCUUAGUGAUUGACGUUACUCGCAGAAGAAGCACCGGCUAACUCCGUGCCAGCAGCCGCGGUAAUACGGAGGGUGCAAGCGUUAAUCGGAAUUACUGGGCGUAAAGCGCACGCAGGCGGUCUGUUAAGUCAGAUGUGAAAUCCCCGGGCUCAACCUGGGAACUGCAUUUGAAACUGGCAGGCUUGAGUCUUGUAGAGGGGGGUAGAAUUCCAGGUGUAGCGGUGAAAUGCGUAGAGAUCUGGAGGAAUACCGGUGGCGAAGGCGGCCCCCUGGACAAAGACUGACGCUCAGGUGCGAAAGCGUGGGGAGCAAACAGGAUUAGAAACCCCAGUAGUCC
Molecule: ribosomal RNA, 450 nt
Filed under: uncultured Enterobacteriaceae bacterium
Lineage: Bacteria; Pseudomonadati; Pseudomonadota; Gammaproteobacteria; Enterobacterales; Enterobacteriaceae
Description: bacterial SSU rRNA
Rfam family: Bacterial small subunit ribosomal RNA
Source: RNAcentral